RNAcentral lists this unclassified non-coding RNA (376 nucleotides) under uncultured Actinomycetes bacterium. Its description in RNAcentral is "uncultured actinobacterium contains 16S-23S intergenic spacer region". Lineage: Bacteria; Bacillati; Actinomycetota; Actinomycetes. The record is from RNAcentral.
UCCGAGUUGUCCCCGGCAGUCUCUUAUGAGUUCCCGGCUUUACCCGCUGGCAACUAAGGACAAGGGUUGCGCUCGUUGCGCCACUUAAGGCAACACCUCACGGCACGAGCUGACGACAGCCAUGCACCACCUGUGCAGGCUCCGUAUAGCGCCGGCUUUCACCGGCUUUGCCCUGCAUGUCAAGCCCAGGUAAGGUUCUUCGCGUCGCAUCGAAUUAAGCCGCAUGCUCCGCCGCUUGUGCGGGCCCCCGUCAAUUCCUCUGAGUUUUAGCCUUGCGGCCGUACUCCCCAGGCGGGGCGCUUAAUGCGUUAGCUGCGGCACGGAACUCGUGGAAUGAGCCCCACACCUAGCGCCCAACGUUUACGGUGUGGACUAC